AACGAAUGAUGGCGGAAGGAAGAACACAGGCAAGUCGAACGAGACCUUCGGGUCUAGUGGCGCACGGGUGCGUAACGCGUGGGAACCUGCCCUUAGGUUCGGAAUAACUCCCCGAAAGGGGUGCUAAUACCGGAUAAUGUCUUCGGACCAAAGAUUUAUCGCCUUUGGAUGGGCCCGCGUUGGAUUAGCUAGUUGGUAGGGUAAAAGCCUACCAAGGCGACGAUCCAUAGCUGGUCUGAGAGGAUGAUCAGCCACACUGGGACUGAGACACGGCCCAGACUCCUACGGGAGGCAGCAGUGGGGAAUAUUGGACAAUGGGCGAAAGCCUGAUCCAGCAAUGCCGCGUGAGUGAUGAAGGCCUUAGGGUUGUAAAGCUCUUUUACCCGGGAUGAUAAUGACAGUACCGGGAGAAUAAGCUCCGGCUAACUCCGUG
This 433-nucleotide ribosomal RNA is filed under the name uncultured bacterium. RNAcentral's name for it is "partial 16S ribosomal RNA". It matches the Rfam family "Bacterial small subunit ribosomal RNA", at positions 29 to 507 of the family's 1533-position model. The record is from RNAcentral.